GGAGAAUUAGCUCAGCUGGGAGAGCAUCUGCCUUACAAGCAGAGGGUCGGCGGUUCGAACCCGUCAUUCCCCACCA
RNAcentral lists this transfer RNA (76 nucleotides) under Staphylococcus aureus. RNAcentral's name for it is "tRNA-Val". It matches the Rfam family "tRNA". Rfam says of the family: Transfer RNA (tRNA) molecules are approximately 80 nucleotides in length. Their secondary structure includes four short double-helical elements and three loops (D, anti-codon, and T loops). The record is from RNAcentral. Lineage: Bacteria; Bacillati; Bacillota; Bacilli; Caryophanales; Staphylococcaceae.